CUCUAAUAGUUUACAACAAAACAUUGGUCUUGUAAGCCAAAGCCGGAGAACGCCCCCCCUCCUUAGAGUA
RNAcentral lists this transfer RNA (70 nucleotides) under Phoeniculus purpureus (green woodhoopoe). Its description in RNAcentral is "tRNA-Thr". Lineage: Eukaryota; Metazoa; Chordata; Aves; Bucerotiformes; Phoeniculidae. The record is from RNAcentral.